Cyprinodon tularosa is the source of this 157-nucleotide long non-coding RNA. RefSeq lists it as uncharacterized. The record is from RefSeq and is a predicted model, not a curated record. Lineage: Eukaryota; Metazoa; Chordata; Actinopteri; Cyprinodontiformes; Cyprinodontidae. The transcript has 3 exons.
AGGGGCCAAAACCAGAAUGAUCAGGGGCCAAAACCAGAAUGAUCAGGGGCCAAAACCAGAAUGAUCAGGGGCCAAAACCAGAAUGAUCAGGGGCCAAAACCAGAAUGAUCAGGGGCCAAAACCAGAAUGAUCAGGGGCCAAAACCAGAAUGAUCAGG